Ribosomal RNA from Danio rerio (zebrafish), 120 nucleotides. Lineage: Eukaryota; Metazoa; Chordata; Actinopteri; Cypriniformes; Danionidae. The record is from Ensembl.
UACAGUCACAGCCAUAUCGCCCUGCAGCCCAAGACCGUUUACUCACUGAAGGUAAGCAAGAAUGAGCAUGGUCAGAACCUGGAUGGGAGACCACAUGGGAAAACUAGGUUGCUGCUGGAA